Zophobas morio is the source of this 705-nucleotide long non-coding RNA. RefSeq lists it as uncharacterized. The record is from RefSeq and is a predicted model, not a curated record. NCBI's taxonomy places the organism in Eukaryota, Metazoa, Arthropoda, Insecta, Coleoptera, Tenebrionidae. The transcript has 3 exons.
GAGAUACGCAGAAAUUGAAUGAAUUGGAAGAGAAGAUGUAAAAAAACAUGUAGGUACCUAUGCAAUUUUGAAGAAAUUAUUAAUAAUGAACCAAAUUGCUUUCAAGUUUUCAGGGCAAGGAAAAAAUAAGCUCUCUUUUAGUGAACUCACAAUUAACAAGGCUACAAUAUGUACCACACGGAAACGUCACAAAAACGCCACAACUGCUGAAAUUUAAAAAAUGGUAGGACCUCAUUAAGCGCAGACAAAAGCAAGAGUGAAUUCUCAUCGAAAAAAACAUGAGGUAUGAUUUUUUUUAUUUUAAUUAAUUAUAUCGCUUUUCAAUGAAUCGGUUAUAGAGCAAAUAAUUAUUAAAUAAAUAUUUCUGUAUAACGAUUGAAAUGUAGCAGAACAUUGUUAUUUCCAUUGACAAUGUAUUUUUAUUUCAUUGUAAGUUGGCAGUGUAUUUUUAUGUUUAAAAAAUUUAUAUUGUGUUUCAAAUCAGGUGAUUUUUUAAAUUUCUGCCCAUGAAGCUUAUGCCAGCAGUUUCAGUUUCACUGCUGACAUAAGCAGUGAAACUGAAAAAAAAGCAGAAAUUAAAAAAAAUCACCCGGUACAAAUUUUCAACGAAUUGGUUCUAGGACAAAUAAUUUUUAAAUGUAUAAAUAUUGCCGCAACGUUUCAAAUACACUUUUAUUUCCAGUGACAAUGUAUUUUUGUAUUUAA